UACAGAGGGGGCGAGCGUUGUUCGGAAUUACUGGGCGUAAAGGGCGCGUAGGCGGCCUUCUAAGUCGAACGUGAAAUCCCCGGGCUCAACCCGGGAACUGCGUCCGAUACUGGGAGGCUUGAAUCCGGGAGAGGGAUGUGGAAUUCCAGGUGUAGCGGUGAAAUGCGCAGAUAUCAGGAGGAACACCUAUUGCGAAGGCAGCUCGCUGGGACGUAACUGACGCUGAGACGCGAAAGCGUGGGGAGCAAACAGG
Molecule: ribosomal RNA, 253 nt
Filed under: uncultured bacterium
Lineage: Bacteria
Description: partial 16S ribosomal RNA
Rfam family: Bacterial small subunit ribosomal RNA
Source: RNAcentral